This 253-nucleotide ribosomal RNA is filed under the name uncultured bacterium. Its description in RNAcentral is "partial 16S ribosomal RNA". It matches the Rfam family "Bacterial small subunit ribosomal RNA", at positions 524 to 776 of the family's 1533-position model. The record is from RNAcentral.
UACGGAGGGGGCUAGCGUUGUUCGGAAUUACUGGGCGUAAAGCGCACGUAGGCGGCGACUCAAGUCAGAGGUGAAAGCCCGGGGCUCAACCCCGGAACUGCCUUUGAAACUAGGUAGCUAGAAUCUUGGAGAGGUCAGUGGAAUUCCGAGUGUAGAGGUGAAAUUCGUAGAUAUUCGGAAGAACACCAGUGGCGAAGGCGACUGACUGGACAAGUAUUGACGCUGAGGUGCGAAAGCGUGGGGAGCAAACAGG